RNAcentral lists this ribosomal RNA (927 nucleotides) under uncultured Myxococcales bacterium. Its description in RNAcentral is "bacterial SSU rRNA". It matches the Rfam family "Bacterial small subunit ribosomal RNA", at positions 8 to 916 of the family's 1533-position model. Lineage: Bacteria; Pseudomonadati; Myxococcota; Myxococcia; Myxococcales. The record is from RNAcentral.
AGAGUUUGAUCCUGGCUCAGAACGAACGCUGGCGGCGUGCCUAACACAUGCAAGUCGAGCGCGAAAAGGGUAACCUGAGUAGAGCGGCGUACGGGUGCGUAACACGUGGGUAAUCUGCCUUGGAGUCGAGGAUAACUUUCCGAAAGGUUAGCUAAUACUCGGUAAGCUUACGGAGACUUCGGUCUUUGUGAGAAAAGUAGGCCUCUAUUUAUAAGCUUACGCUUCGAGAUGAGCCCGCGGCCCAUCAGCUAGUUGGUGGUGUAACGGACCACCAAGGCAAUGACGGGUAGCUGGUCUGAGAGGACGAUCAGCCACACUGGAACUGAGAUAUGGUCCAGACUCCUAUGGGAGGCAGCAGUGGGGAAUUUUCCACAAUGGGCGAAAGCCUGAUGGAGCAACGCCGCGUGUGUGAUGAAGGUUUUCGGAUCGUAAAGCACUUUCGACCGGGACGAAAAACCUCUGGCUAACAUCCAGGGGCCUGACGGUACCGGGAGAAGAAGCACCGGCUAACUCUGUGCCAGCAGUCGCGGUAAUACAGAGGGUGCAAGCGUUGUUCGGAAUUAUUGGGCGUAAAGCGCGUGUAGGCGGCUUUGCAAGUCAGAUGUGAAAGCCCUCGGUUUAACCGAGGAAGUGCGUCUGAAACUGCAGAGCUUGAGUGUCGGAGAGGAUGGCGGAAUUCCGCAAGUAGAGGUGAAAUUCGUAGAUAUGCGGAGGAACACCGGUGGUGAAGGCGGCCAUCUGGACGACUACUGACGCUGAGACGCGAAAGCGUGGGGAGCAAACAGGAUUAGAUACCCUGGUAGUCCACGCUGUAAACGAUGAGAACUAGGUGUCGUGGGUGUUGAUCCCCGCGGUGCCGCAGCUAAUGCAUUAAGUUCUCCGCCUGGGAAGUACGGCCGCAAGGCUAAAACUCAAAGGAAUUGACGG